This 713-nucleotide ribosomal RNA is filed under the name Frondihabitans sp. RNAcentral describes it as "bacterial SSU rRNA". It matches the Rfam family "Bacterial small subunit ribosomal RNA", at positions 710 to 1424 of the family's 1533-position model. The record is from RNAcentral. Lineage: Bacteria; Bacillati; Actinomycetota; Actinomycetes; Micrococcales; Microbacteriaceae.
CGAUGGGGAAGGCAGAUCUCUGGGCCGGAACGGCCGUGAGGAGCGAAAGCAGGGGAGCGAACAGGAUUAGAUACCCUGGUAGUCCAUGCCGUAAACGUGGGGAACUAGAUGUAGGGGCCCUUCCCCGGUUUUUGUGUUGCAGCUAACGCAUUAAGUUCCCCGCCCGGGGAGGACGGCCGCAAGGCCAAAACUCAAAGGAAAGGACGGGGGCCCGCACAAGCGGCGGAGCAUGCGGAUUAAUUCGAUGCAACGCGAAGAACCUUACCAAGGCUUGACAUAUACCGGAAACGUCCAGAGAUGGUCGCCCCGCAAGGUCGGUAUACAGGUGGUGCAUGGUUGUCGUCAGCUCGUGUCGUGAGAUGUUGGGUUAAGUCCCGCAACGAGCGCAACCCUCGUUCUAUGUUGCCAGCACGUUAUGGUGGGAACUCAUAGGAGACUGCCGGGGUCAACUCGGAGGAAGGUGGGGAUGACGUCAAAUCAUCAUGCCCCUUAUGUCUUGGGCUUCACGCAUGCUACAAUGGCCGAUACAAAGGGCUGCAAUACCGUAAGGUGGAGCGAAUCCCAAAAAGUCGGUCUCAGUUCGGAUUGAGGUCUGCAACUCGACCUCAUGAAGUCGGAGUCGCUAGUAAUCGCAGAUCAGCAACGCUGCGGUGAAUACGUUCCCGGGCCUUGUACACACCGCCCGUCAAGUCAUGAAAGUCGGUAACACCCGA